This 253-nucleotide ribosomal RNA is filed under the name uncultured bacterium. RNAcentral's name for it is "partial 16S ribosomal RNA". It matches the Rfam family "Bacterial small subunit ribosomal RNA", at positions 524 to 776 of the family's 1533-position model. The record is from RNAcentral.
UACGGAGGGUGCAAGCGUUGUCCGGAUUUAUUGGGUUUAAAGGGUGCGUAGGCGGCCCGUUAAGUCAGUGGUGAAAGCCUCCAGCUCAACUGGAGAACUGCCAUUGAUACUGACGGGCUUGAGUACAGACGAGGUUGGCGGAAUUGACUGUGUAGCGGUGAAAUGCAUAGAUACAAUCAAGAACUCCGAUUGCGUAGGCAGCUAGCUAGGCUGUAACUGACGCUGAGGCACGAAAGCGUGGGGAGCGAACAGG